This is an RNA transcript of Beta vulgaris subsp. vulgaris (sugar beet), 1229 nucleotides long. It is a transcript of the gene named protein ANTAGONIST OF LIKE HETEROCHROMATIN PROTEIN 1, with no coding region annotated. NCBI's taxonomy places the organism in Eukaryota, Viridiplantae, Streptophyta, Magnoliopsida, Caryophyllales, Amaranthaceae. The transcript has 3 exons. The record is from RefSeq and is a predicted model, not a curated record.
CAACAUAUUUUUAUAAGUACAUAUACAAAGAACCGUGCAUGACUUCCAUCCUGACAGGUGAACAAUGGGUGACAGAUGUUUUGAGUGGACAUUAUAUACGAUGUAUUAAUGCUUUUAGGAUGGAAUCGAGUGUGUUCAAACAACUAUGUGAAGAACUACAAGCCAGGUAUGGAUUAAGAGAAAGUAAAAAGAUGGCUGUUAUUGAAAAGGUCGACAUCUUCGUAUAUACUCUUGCCUUAGGUAUUUCUAAUAGAGAUGUUGCUGAGCGAUUUCAACGUUCUGGUGAGACUAUUAGUAGAGCAUUUCAUGAAGUUCUGGAAGCUAUUAGUGGUAGAACGAGGGCUUAUAUGGGUCUUGCACGCGAUAUCAUAAAACCACAGGAUGCAAGUUUCCCAGGUAUACCACCUCAGAUUGAAUAUGAUCCAAGAUACAUGCCUUAUUUCAAGGACGCUAUUGGAUGCAUUGAUGGAACACACAUAAAUGCAUGUAUACCCGAGACAGAGCAAUUGCGUUAUAGAGGGAGAAAAGGAAACCCUACUUUCAAUGUCAUGGCAACAUGUGAUUUUGAUAUGUGUUUCACUUUUAUUUCUCUUGGAUGGGAAGGAUCCGCUCAUGACACUCGGGUUUUUCUUCAUGCACUUAAUACACAAGAACUGAACUUUCCGAAACCCCCAGAAGGUAAGUACUACUUGGUGGACAAAGGAUAUCCGGACAGAAAAGGCUAUUUGGUACCAUACCCGAAAACAAGGUACCACAAGGAUGAAUUCACGAAUAUGCCACCGACUAAUGAAAGAGAAGCCUUUAAUCGAUCUCAUUCAUCCCUACGAAGUUGUAUUGAGAGAUCAUUUGGAGUUUUGAAAAAAAGAUGGAAGAUAUUAGGGCAAAUGCCACAAUUCAGUGUCGAGACUCAACUUGAUGUCAUUAUGGCCGCUUUUGCCUUGCAUAACUACAUACGAAAAAUUCUACAGAGGACCUUAUCUUUAGAAUGGUCGAUGAGAAUCCUGAUUACAUGCCUUGUGAAGAACUUCCCGACGUUAUCCAUGCUAGAAACAAUGAAACGUCAAGAGAGACUUCUAAAGAAAUGGAAAAAGUUCGUGAUGACAUUGCUUCUUUGAUUUGGAAAGCACAAUGAUUGUAUUUUAAAAUAAAGUACAAUAUAUGUUUUAUAUUAAUAAUAAUUUUAUUUCUGCAAAAUAUAAUGAUAUGUUGAUUUAAAAUUUCAGCUACAG